AGCGAACGCUGGCGGCAGGCUUAACACAUGCAAGUCGAGCGGGCAUAGCAAUAUGUCAGCGGCAGACGGGUGAGUAACGCGUGGGAACGUACCUUUUGGUCCGGAACAACACAGGGAAACUUGUGCUAAUACCGGAUAAGCCCUUACGGGGAAGGAUUUAUCGUCGAAAGAUCGGCCCGCGUCUGAUUAGCUAGUUGGUGAGGUAAUGGCUCACCAAGGCGACGAUAAGUAGCUGGUCUGAGAGGAUGAUCAGCCACAUUGGGACGGAGACACGGCCCAAACUCCUACGGGAGGCAGCAGUGGGGAAUAUUGGACAAUGGGCGCAAGCCUGAUCCAGCCAUGCCGCGUGAGUGAUGAAGGCCCUAGGGUUGUAAAGCUCUUUUGUGCGGGAAGAUAAUGACGGUACCGCAAGAAUAAGCCCCGGCUAACUUCGUGCCAGCAGCCGCCGUAA
This 451-nucleotide ribosomal RNA is filed under the name uncultured bacterium. RNAcentral's name for it is "partial 16S ribosomal RNA". It matches the Rfam family "Bacterial small subunit ribosomal RNA", at positions 29 to 523 of the family's 1533-position model. The record is from RNAcentral.